Non-coding RNA from Heligmosomoides polygyrus, 75 nucleotides. The record is from Rfam. NCBI's taxonomy places the organism in Eukaryota, Metazoa, Nematoda, Chromadorea, Rhabditida, Heligmosomidae.
GCGCCGGUGGUGUAAUGGCGUAGAGCAUUCCCGCCCGCUCAGAGGGAGGUGCGGGUUCGAGUCCCGCCUGGCGCU